This 528-nucleotide ribosomal RNA is filed under the name uncultured bacterium. RNAcentral describes it as "bacterial SSU rRNA". It matches the Rfam family "Bacterial small subunit ribosomal RNA", at positions 777 to 1304 of the family's 1533-position model. The record is from RNAcentral.
AAUAGAUACCCAGGUAGUCCACGCCGUAAACGAUGAGUGCUAAGUGUUAGAGGGUUUCCGCCCUUUAGUGCUGCAGCUAACGCAUUAAGCACUCCGCCUGGGGAGUACGGUCACAAGACUGAAACUCAAAGGAAUUGACGGGGGCCCGCACAAGCGGUGGAGCAUGUGGUUUAAUUCGAAGCAACGCGAAGAACCUUACCAGGUCUUGACAUCCUCUGACAACUCUAGAGAUAGAGCGUUCCCCUUCGGGGGACAGAGUGACAGGUGGUGCAUGGUUGUCGUCAGCUCGUGUCGUGAGAUGUUGGGUUAAGUCCCGCAACGAGCGCAACCCUUGAUCUUAGUUGCCAGCAUUUAGUUGGGCACUCUAAGGUGACUGCCGGUGACAAACCGGAGGAAGGUGGGGAUGACGUCAAAUCAUCAUGCCCCUUAUGACCUGGGCUACACACGUGCUACAAUGGAUGGUACAAAGGGCUGCAAGACCGCGAGGUCAAGCCAAUCCCAUAAACCAUUCUCAGUUCGGAUUGUAGG